RNAcentral lists this long non-coding RNA (305 nucleotides) under Manihot esculenta (cassava). RNAcentral describes it as "long non-coding RNA (MESC_LNC009840)". Lineage: Eukaryota; Viridiplantae; Streptophyta; Magnoliopsida; Malpighiales; Euphorbiaceae. The record is from RNAcentral.
GCGUUUCAACCUAGAAAAGAGAUCAGAAUAACAUUAUUGAUGCCAUCUAUGGGAAACCUCAUUUUGAAAAUCUUUCAAAGAAAAAAUAAAAUUUCAUGAUUAUUGUUCUAUCUCCCACAAUGGCAUCUGACCCAAUUGAUGUCGCUGCCAGCAACAUGAAUCAUUCCAAUGGCAAUCAAACCACUAUUACUCAGAAAUUUUCCAAUCAGAGAAACGCAAAGGAAGCACAACAUGAUGACUCCUUAUCUAGAGAAUAACUUCUAGAGAAAUUGAGGGUUAUGUGAGUAAAGCUCGCUGGAGGGAGG